This 483-nucleotide ribosomal RNA is filed under the name uncultured bacterium. RNAcentral's name for it is "bacterial SSU rRNA". It matches the Rfam family "Bacterial small subunit ribosomal RNA", at positions 35 to 507 of the family's 1533-position model. The record is from RNAcentral.
GCUGGCGGCAGGCCUAACACAUGCAAGUCGGGCGGUAACAGGGGAAGCUUGCUUCCCGCUGACGAGCGGCGGACGGGUGAGUAAUGCAUAGGAAUCUGCCUGGUAGUGGGGGAUAGCCCAGAGAAAUUUGGAUUAAUACCGCAUACGCCCUACGGGGAAAGCUGGGGGGACCUUCGGGGCCUAGCGCUAUCAGAUGAGCCUAUGUCGGAUUAGCUUGUUGGUGAGGUAACGGCUCACCAAGGCGACGAUCCGUAGCUGGUCUGAGAGGAUGAUCAGCCACACUGGGACUGAGACACGGCCCAGACUCCUACGGGAGGCAGCAGUGGGGAAUAUUGGACAAUGGGCGCAAGCCUGAUCCAGCCAUGCCGCGUGUGUGAAGAAGGCCUUCGGGUUGUAAAGCACUUUCAGCGAGGAGGAAAGGGAUGCUGCCAAUAUCAGCGUCCUGUGACGUUACUCGCAGAAGAAGCACCGGCUAACUCCGUG